Molecule: ribosomal RNA, 500 nt
Filed under: uncultured bacterium
Lineage: Bacteria
Description: partial 16S ribosomal RNA
Rfam family: Bacterial small subunit ribosomal RNA
Source: RNAcentral
AUUGAACGCUGGCGGCAGGCCUAACACAUGCAAGUCGAGCGGAUGACGGGAGCUUGCUCCUUGAUUCAGCGGCGGACGGGUGAGUAAUGCCUAGGAAUCUGCCUGGUAGUGGGGGACAACGUUUCGAAAGGAACGCUAAUACUGCAUACGUCCUACGGGAGAACGCAGGGGACCUUCGGGCCGUGCGCUAUCAGAUGAGCAUAGGUCGGAUUAGCUAGUAGGUGAGGUAAUGGCUCACCUAGGCGACGAUACGUAACUGGUCUGAGAGGCGGUUCGGUCACACUGGAACUGAGACAGGGGACAGACUCCUAGGGGAGGCAGCAGUGGGGAAUAUUGGACAAUGGGCGAAAGCCUGAUCCAGCCAUGCCGCGUGUCUGAAGAAGGUCUUCGGAUUGUAAAGCAGUUUAAGUCGGGAGGAAGGGUUGUACGUUAAUACCGUGCAAUUUUGACGUUACCGACAGAAUAAGCACCGGCUAACUCUGAGCCAGCCGCCGCCGUAA